This 468-nucleotide ribosomal RNA is filed under the name uncultured bacterium. RNAcentral's name for it is "partial 16S ribosomal RNA". It matches the Rfam family "Bacterial small subunit ribosomal RNA", at positions 28 to 507 of the family's 1533-position model. The record is from RNAcentral.
GACGAACGCUGGCGGCGUGCUUAACACAUGCAAGUCGAACGGAAAGGCCCUGCUUUUGUGGGGUGCUCGAGUGGCGAACGGGUGAGUAACACGUGAGUAACCUGCCCUUGACUUUGGGAUAACUUCAGGAAACUGGGGCUAAUACCGGAUAGGAGCUCCUGCUGCAUGGUGGGGGUUGGAAAGUUUCGGCGGUUGGGGAUGGACUCGCGGCUUAUCAGCUUGUUGGUGGGGUAGUGGCUUACCAAGGCAUUGACGGGUAGCCGGCCUGAGAGGGUGACCGGACCCAUUGGGACUGAGAUACGGCCCAGACUCCUACGGGAGGCAGAAGUGGGGAAUAGUGCACAAUGGGCGGAAGCCUGAUGCAGCAACGCCGCGUGCGGGAUGACGGCCUUCGGGUUGUAAACCGCUUUCGCCUGUGACGAAGCGUGAGUGACGGUAAUGGGUAAAGAAGCACCGGCUAACUACGUG